RNAcentral lists this transfer RNA (72 nucleotides) under Bos taurus (domestic cattle). It matches the Rfam family "tRNA". Rfam says of the family: Transfer RNA (tRNA) molecules are approximately 80 nucleotides in length. Their secondary structure includes four short double-helical elements and three loops (D, anti-codon, and T loops). Further hydrogen bonds mediate the characteristic L-shaped molecular structure. tRNAs have two regions of fundamental functional importance: the anti-codon, which is responsible for specific mRNA codon recognition, and the 3' end, to which the tRNAs corresponding amino acid is attached (by aminoacyl-tRNA synthetases). tRNAs cope with the degeneracy of the genetic code in two manners: having more than one tRNA (with a specific anti-codon) for a particular amino acid; and 'wobble' base-pairing, i.e. permitting non-standard base-pairing at the 3rd anti-codon position. Lineage: Eukaryota; Metazoa; Chordata; Mammalia; Artiodactyla; Bovidae. RNAcentral also lists the same sequence under 4 other names. The record is from Rfam by way of RNAcentral.
UCCCUGGUGGCUCAGACGGUAAAGCGUCUGCCUGCAAUGCAGGAGACCGCGGUUCGAUCCCUGGGUGGGGAA